AUUUAUAUAGUUUAUGAAAACAUUUCAUUUUCAAUGAAAAGUAAAAUAAAAUUUAUUUUAUAAAUA
RNAcentral lists this transfer RNA (66 nucleotides) under Neoplerochila sp. Its description in RNAcentral is "tRNA-Glu". Lineage: Eukaryota; Metazoa; Arthropoda; Insecta; Hemiptera; Tingidae. The record is from RNAcentral.